RNAcentral lists this ribosomal RNA (818 nucleotides) under uncultured bacterium. Its description in RNAcentral is "bacterial SSU rRNA". It matches the Rfam family "Bacterial small subunit ribosomal RNA", at positions 57 to 886 of the family's 1533-position model. The record is from RNAcentral.
GCAGUCGAACGGACUCAUAUUGAAACCUAGUGAUUUAUGAGUUAGUGGCGGACGGGUGAGUAACGCGUGGAAAACCUGCCGUAUACCGGGGGAUAACACUUAGAAAUAGGUGCUAAUACCGCAUAAGCGCACAGCUUCGCAUGAAGCAGUGUGAAAAACUCCGGUGGUAUACGAUGGUUCCGCGUCUGAUUAGCUAGUUGGCGGGGUAACGGCCCACCAAGGCAGCGAUCAGUAGCCGGCCUGAGAGGGUGAACGGCCACAUUGGGACUGAGACACGGCCCAAACUCCUACGGGAGGCAGCAGUGGGGAAUAUUGCACAAUGGGGGAAACCCUGAUGCAGCGACGCCGCGUGAGUGAAGAAGUAUUUCGGUACGUAAAGCUCUAUCAGCAGGGAAGAAAAUGACGGUACCUGACUAAGAAGCCCCGGCUAACUACGUGCCAGCAGCCGCGGUAAUACGUAGGGGGCAAGCGUUAUCCGGAUUUACUGGGUGUAAAGGGAGCGUAGACGGCAGCGCAAGUCUGGAGUGAAAUGCCGGGGCCCAACCCCGGAACUGCUUUGGAAACUGUGCAGCUUGAGUGCGGGAGAGGUAAGUGGAAUUCCUAGUGUAGCGGUGAAAUGCGUAGAUAUUAGGAGGAACACCAGUGGCGAAGGCGGCUUACUGGACCGUAACUGACGUUGAGGCUCGAAAGCGUGGGGAGCAAACAGGAUUAGAUACCCUGGUAGUCCACGCCGUANACGAUGAUUACUANGUGUCGGGGGACCAAGGUCCUCCGGUGCCGGCGCAAACGCAUUAAGUAAUCCACCUGGGGAGUACGUU